This is a non-coding RNA of Macaca mulatta (Rhesus monkey), 2540 nucleotides long. The record is from RefSeq and is a predicted model, not a curated record. Lineage: Eukaryota; Metazoa; Chordata; Mammalia; Primates; Cercopithecidae.
GCACAAGAAGCAGAUGAACUAACCCUUGGGCAAAACCUGAAUAUAAAGGCCCCCCAUGCUGUGGUAACUUUGAUGAAUACCAGAGGACAUCAUUGGCUAACAAAUGCUAGAUUAACCAAGUACCACAGCUUGCUGUGUGAAAUUCCCCGCGUAACUAUUGAAGUCUGUAACACCCUAAAUCCUGCCACCCUGCUCCCAGUAUCAGAGAGCCCUGUUGAGCAUAACUGUAUAGAGGUGUUGGACUCAGUCUAUUCUAGCAGACCUGACCUUCAGGACCAGCCAUGGGCAUCAGUAGACUGAGAGUUAUACGUGGAUGGGAGCAGCUUCAUUAACGCACAAGGGGAAAGAUGUGCAGGAUAUGCAGUGGUAACUUUGGAUGUUGUCAUUGAAGCCAAACCGUUGCCACAGGGCACUUCAGCCCAGAAAGCUGAGCUCUAACUCAGGCUGUAGAACUCAGUGAAGGUAAGACUGUAAACAUCUACACUGACUCUUGAGAUGCCUUUCUAACCCUCCAAGUGCAUGGAGUAUUUUAUAAGGAAAAGGGUCUGUUAAACUCUGGGGGAAAGGACAUAAAAUAUCAAAAAGAAAUUCUACAAUUAUUAGAGGCAGUGUGGAAACCUCAGAAGGUGGCAGUCAUGCACUGCAGGGGACACCAGCAAGCCUCCACCUCAGUGACCUUAGGACACUCUCGAGCUGAUUCAGAAGCUCGAAAAGCAGCAUCUACCCCUUACCAGGUAUCGGUAGUAGCCCCCUUACUCCCUCAAACACCUGACCUGGUAUCUACCUAUUCUAAGGAAGAAAAAGAUUUCUUCCAAGCAGAAGGGGGGCAAGUAAUAAAAGGAGGAUGGAUCAGACUGCCAGAUGCUAGGGUAGCUGUGCUGCAGUUGCUAGGAGCCCCAAUCAUAUUGGCUGUGCAUGAAACCAAUUAUCUAGGUCAAGAGUCACUUGAAAAAUUGUUAGACCGGUACUUCUAUGUCUCACACUUGCCAGCCCUUGCCAAAGCAGUAGCACAACUGUGUGUUACUUGCCAACAGCACAAUGUGAGGCAAGGCCCCAGCAUUCCACCCAGUAUACAAGCUUAUGGAGCGGCUCCUUUUGAGGAUCUUCAAUUGGAUUUCACAGAAAUGUCGAAAUGUGGAGGUCACAAGUAUUUGCUGGUUCUUAUGUGUACUUACUCUGGGUGGGUGGAGGCUUAUCCCACACGAACUGAAAAGGCCUAUGAGGUAACCUGUGUGCUUCUCUGAGAUCUUAUUCCUAGGUUUGGACUGCCCUUAUGAAUCAGCUCAGAUAACAGGCUGGCGUUUGUGGCUGACUUGGUACAGAAGACAGCAAAGGCAUUAGGAAUCACUUGGAAGCUACAUGCCUACCGACCUCAGAGUUCUGGAAAGGUGGAGCAAAUGAAUUGGACCAUCAAAAAUAGUUUAGGGAAAGUAUGUCAGGAAACAGGAUUAAAGUGGAUACAGGUCCUUCCUAUGGUAUUGUUUAAAAUUAGAUGCACUCUUUCUAAGAAAACAGGAUACUCCCCCUUAUGAAAUACUGUAUCAUAGGUCUCCUCCUAUACUACGGGAGCUUCCAGGCACUUCCCGAGUUAGGUGAAGUUGAAUUACAGCGACAGCUACAGGCUUUAGGAAAAAUUACACAAACAAUCCCAACUUAGGUAAAUGAGAGGUGUCCAUCAAGUUAUUCUCCCCAGUUCACCCUUUCUCUCCAGGUGAUCAUGUGUGGAUCAAGGACUGGAAUGUAGCCCCUUUGAGGCCAUGGUGGAAAGGACCUCAGACUGUCAUUCUGACCACCACCAUGGCUGUAAAGGUAGAAGGAAUCCCAGCCUGGAUCCACCACAGCCAUGUGAGACCUGCAGCUGAUGAAACCUAGGAGGCAAAACCGAGCCUGGACAACUCCUGCAAAGUGACUCUGAGGAGGACGGCAAACCCUGCUCCAGUCACACCUGGAAGCUGACUGGUCUACGCAUGGCAGAAGCAUGAGGAGAAUCAAUGUAGGACUCAUUUUCCUUAUAAUUUGGACUUGUAUAGUAAAAACUUCCACUGAUUUUCCCUGCACGGAGGACUGCUCUCAGUGUAUACAUCAGGUUACUGAGUUUACAACAUCAGUAUCUACCUAGCUGGUCAUGAGACAGCAUGGAAUUGAACUCCACUUUUCACCCUCAGCACAACAAAUUAGGGCUGGUGACUUGAGGAGAAAUAUGCCAUUACAGGAGUUGGUGUCCUUUGAGGAUGUGGCUGUGGGCUUCACCUGGAAAGAGUGGCAGGACUUGGAUGAUGCUCAAAGGACUCUGUACAGGGACAUGAUGCUGGAGACCUACAGCAGCUUGGUGUCCUUGGGGUACCACAUUACCAAACCUGAGGUGAUCUUCAAGCUGGAGCAAGGAGAACCUUGGAUGGUAGAGGACACCAGAGCCUUCCAACUGUCCACAUAGUUGAUGACAUAAUUGAGAGGAGCCAAGAAAGUCACAGUAGACAUUUGUGGCAAGUUGUAAUUACGAAAAGCAAAUCAUCAGUUGAGAAGGGAGUGGAAUCAGGAAA